GAUGAACGCUGGCGGCGUGCCUAAUACAUGCAAGUCGAGCGAACAGAUAAGGAGCUUGCUCCUUUGACGUUAGCGGCGGACGGGUGAGUAACACGUGGAUAACCUACCUAUAAGACUGGGAUAACUUCGGGAAACCGGAGCUAAUACCGGAUAACAUAUUGAACCGCAUGGUUCAAUAGUGAAAGGCGGCUUUGCUGUCACUUAUAGAUGGAUCCGCGCCGUAUUAGCUAGUUGGUAAGGUAACGGCUUACCAAGGCAACGAUACGUAGCCGACCUGAGAGGGUGAUCGGCCACACUGGAACUGAGACGCGGUCCAGACUCCUACGGGAGGCAGCAGUAGGGAAUCUUCCGCAAUGGGCGAAAGCCUGACGGAGCAACGCCGCGUGAGUGAUGAAGGUCUUCGGAUCGUAAAACUCUGUUAUCAGGGAAGAACAAAUGUGUAAGUAACUGUGCACAUCUUGACGGUACCUGAUCAGAAAGCCACGGCUAACUACGUGCCAGCAGCCGCGGUAAUACGUAGGUGGCAAGCGUUAUCCGGAAUUAUUGGGCGUAAAGCGCGCGUAGGCGGUUUUUUAGUCUGAUGUGAAGCCCACGGCUCAACCGUGGAGGGUCAUUGGAAACUGGAAAACUUGAGUGCAGAAGAGGAAAGUGGAAUUCCAUGUGUAGCGGUGAAAUGCGCAGAGAUAUGGAGGAACACCAGUGGCGAAGGCGACUUUCUGGUCUGUAACUGACGCUGAUGUGCGAAAGCGUGGGGAUCAAACAGGAUUAGAUACCCUGGUAGUCCACGCCGUAAACGAUGAGUGCUAAGUGUUAGGGGGUUUCCGCCCCUUAGUGCUGCAGCUAACGCAUUAAGCACUCCGCCUGGGGAGUACGACCGCAAGGUUGAAACUCAAAGGAAUUGACGGGGACCCGCACAAGCGGUGGAGCAUGUGGUUUAAUUCGAAGCAACGCGAAGAACCUUACCAAAUCUUGACAUCCUUUGACCGCUCUAGAGAUAGAGUCUUCCCCUUCGGGGGACAAAGUGACAGGUGGUGCAUGGUUGUCGUCAGCUCGUGUCGUGAGAUGUUGGGUUAAGUCCCGCAACGAGCGCAACCCUUAAGCUUAGUUGCCAUCAUUAAGUUGGGCACUCUAAGUUGACUGCCGGUGACAAACCGGAGGAAGGUGGGGAUGACGUCAAAUCAUCAUGCCCCUUAUGAUUUGGGCUACACACGUGCUACAAUGGACAAUACAAAGGGCAGCUAAACCGCGAGGUCAAGCAAAUCCCAUAAAGUUGUUCUCAGUUCGGAUUGUAGUCUGCAACUCGACCACAUGAAGCUGGAAUCGCUAGUAAUCGUAGAUCAGCAUGCUACGGUGAAUACGUUCCCGGGUCU
Molecule: ribosomal RNA, 1370 nt
Filed under: uncultured bacterium
Lineage: Bacteria
Also listed under: 1 other name
Description: bacterial SSU rRNA
Rfam family: Bacterial small subunit ribosomal RNA
Source: RNAcentral